AAUACCGCAUAACGUCGCAAGACCAAAGUGGGGGACCUUCGGGCCUCAUGCCAUCAGAUGUGCCCAGAUGGGAUUAGCUAGUAGGUGGGGUAACGGCUCACCUAGGCGACGAUCCCUAGCUGGUCUGAGAGGAUGACCAGCCACACUGGAACUGAGACACGGUCCAGACUCCUACGGGAGGCAGCAGUGGGGAAUAUUGCACAAUGGGCGCAAGCCUGAUGCAGCCAUGCCGCGUGUGUGAAGAAGGCCUUCGGGUUGUAAAGCACUUUCAGCGGGGAGGAAGGCGAUAAGGUUAAUAACCUUGUCGAUUGACGUUACCCGCAGAAGAAGCACCGGCUAACUCCGUGCCAGCAGCCGCGGUAAUACGGAGGGUGCAAGCGUUAAUCGGAAUUACUGGGCGUAAAGCGCACGCAGGCGGUCUGUCAAGUCGGAUGUGAAAUCCCCGGGCUCAACCUGGGAACUGCAUUCGAAACUGGCAGGCUAGAGUCUUGUAGAGGGGGGUAGAAUUCCAGGUGUAGCGGUGAAAUGCGUAGAGAUCUGGAGGAAUACCGGUGGCGAAGGCGGCCCCCUGGACAAAGACUGACGCUCAGGUGCGAAAGCGUGGGGAGCAAACAGGAUUAGAUACCCUGGUAGUCCACGCCGUAAACGAUGUCGAUUUGGAGGUUGUGCCCUUGAGGCGUGGCUUCCGGAGCUAACGCGUUAAAUCGACCGCCUGGGGAGUACGGCCGCAAGGUUAAAACUCAAAUGAAUUGACGGGGGCCCGCACAAGCGGUGGAGCAUGUGGUUUAAUUCGAUGCAACGCGAAGAACCUUACCUGGUCUUGACAUCCACAGAACUUUCCAGAGAUGGAUUGGUGCCUUCGGGAACUGUGAGACAGGUGCUGCAUGGCUGUCGUCAGCUCGUGUUGUGAAAUGUUGGGUUAAGUCCCGCAACGAGCGCAACCCUUAUCCUUUGUUGCCAGCGGUCCGGCCGGGAACUCAAAGGAGACUGCCAGUGAUAAACUGGAGGAAGGUGGGGAUGACGUCAAGUCAUCAUGGCCCUUACGACCAGGGCUACACACGUGCUACAAUGGCAUAUACAAAGAGAAGCGACCUCGCGAGAGCAAGCGGACCUCAUAAAGUAUGUCGUAGUCCGGAUUGGAGUCUGCAACUCGACUCCAUGAAGUCGGAAUCGCUAGUAAUCGUAGAUCAGAAUGCUACGGUGAAUACGUUCCCGGGCCUUGUACACACCGCCCGUCACACCAUGGGAGUGGGUUGCAAAAGAAGUAGGUAGCUUAACCUUCGGGAGGGCGCUUACCACUUUGUGAUUCAUGACUGGGGUGAAGUCGUAACAAGGUAACCGUAGGGGAACCUGCGGUUGGAUCACCU
Molecule: ribosomal RNA, 1367 nt
Filed under: Klebsiella pneumoniae BIDMC 23
Lineage: Bacteria; Pseudomonadati; Pseudomonadota; Gammaproteobacteria; Enterobacterales; Enterobacteriaceae
Description: bacterial SSU rRNA
Rfam family: Bacterial small subunit ribosomal RNA
Source: RNAcentral